Long non-coding RNA from Mustela lutreola (European mink), 2765 nucleotides. RefSeq lists it as uncharacterized. The record is from RefSeq and is a predicted model, not a curated record. NCBI's taxonomy places the organism in Eukaryota, Metazoa, Chordata, Mammalia, Carnivora, Mustelidae. The transcript has 5 exons.
GGGGAGGCCAGUCACUUCCGGAGCCGGUUCCGAUCCGCGCCGAGCGCCCUGCUUUCGCCGACGCGGACCUCGGGGUGCGGUUGUGCCCGGCUCCACGCGCGCGCGGGCGAUGCGGGGCCGGGGGACGUCCUGGCGCAGGUUUAACAAAGGGACUGGAGACUGAUGCAUGAGGGGCCCACGGAGGCGCAGGAGCGGUGGUGAGGGUGUGGGAAGCGGAGCUGAAGUGCGCUGGACUUUGGGGAGGACUGACAGUUUAUCCUGACUGUGUUCAGGCAGGAAAACGUGGAUGAUUACUAUGACACCGGCGAGGAACUUGGCAGGUUUCAGCACAUUCUGUAACUGAAGACUCUUUCUUCCAUUGGUCAAGGCUUGGAUAGCCUCAGCUGUCUAUCCCAGGCACUCCCUAGCCUUAUGGAACUAGAAUCACAAAGCGCUUUCCAUAGAGUUCUGGAGGACGGUAAUAUAAAUGGCAGCCUCCUGGUCUCCAGCCCGGAGGAACCGAGAUCCCACAACUCAGUGCACCCCCAGAGAACAGCGCCCAGUUACUCCCGUCUACCUGACCUCCAGCCACGCUCCGAGCUCACUGAGCCUGCGACCGGUUCAAGAUAACAUGAUUCUUUAUAUGGAAAACCCAAAAGACUCCACCCCCAAACUACUAGAACCCAUACAGCAAUUCAGUAAUGUGGCAGGAUACAAAGUCAAUGUAUAGAAAUCAGUGGCUUUCUUAUACACUAACAAUGAAAAUACAGAAAGGGAAAUUAGAGAAUCAAUUCCAUUUACUAUAGCACCAAGAACCAUAAGACACCUGGGAAUAAACCUAACCAAAGAGGUAAAGGAUCUGUACUCAAGGAACUACAGAAAACUCAUGAAAGAAAUUGAAGAAGACACAAAAAGAUGGAAGACCAUUCCAUGCUCUUAGAUCGGAAGAAUAAACAUUGUUAAAAUGUCUAUACUGCCUAGAGCAAUCUAGACUUUUAAUGCUAUUCUGAUCAAAAUUCCACCAGUAUUCUUCAAAGAGCUGGAGCAAAUAAUCCUAAAAUUUGUAUGGAAUCAGAUGAGACCCUGAAUCGCUAAGGAAAUGUUGAAAGACAAAAAUAAAACUGGGGACAUCACGUUACCUGAUUUCAAGCUUUACUACAAAGCUGUGAUCACCAAGACAGCAUGGUACUGGCAUAAAAGCAGACACAUAGACCAGUGGAACAGAGUACAGUGCCCAGAUAUGGACCCUCAACUCUUUGGUCAAAUAAUCUUCGACAAAACAGGAAAAAAUAUACAGUGGAAAAAAGACAGUCUCUUCAAUAAGUGGUGCUGGGAAAACUGGACAGAUAUAUGUAGAAGAAUGAAACUCGACCAUUCUCUUACACCGUACACAAAGAUAAACUCAAAAUGGAUAAAAGACCUCAGUGUGAGACAGGAAUCCAUCAGAAUCCUAGAGGAGAACGUAGGCAGUAAUCUCUUCGAUAUCAGCCACAGCAACUUCUUUCAAGAUAUGUCUCCAAAGGCAAAGGAAACCAAAGCGAAUAUAAACUUUUGGGACUUCAUCAAAAUCAAAAGUUUCUGCACAGCAAAGAAAAUAGUCAAGAAAACAAAGAGGCAACCCAUUUGCCAAGAAAUUAGACACUGUCUUUUAAAACAGGUUAAUGUCUUUUGUUUCAUUCUUUGCUCCUAUGGCCAUAGACCUGUCAGCAGUAAAUCCAAGGGACCUGAAAACGUUUUCAUAUUUCCCCUCCCAGUAGCCCUAGAUGAAAUUACACAUGCUAAUCUUGCUAAGCUUUUUCAUCAGCUCCUGAAGUUUCUACAAAAGCAUGUUGCUGACCAAGAAACUGGGUCAGACAAUUGUUUUGCAAUAAAGAUGAUCUUUUGAAGUGUCUCAGCAGCUGCUUACCUUGAACAGGAGUCCUGUGGAUCAUGCUCUUCAGAAAUUGAGCCUCAGGCCUCUCCUACUUUAAUAACAAUAAAAAAUUGCCCUUUUUUCCCCACCUGCCUUUGGGCUUUCUGAUUGAUGAAUCUAUUCACUUAAACAGAGAAUUUAAAAAAUUUCUUUAAAAAAUACAACCACUUUCUGAAAUAUAUUUGCAAAGCUUGAAACUCUAUGAAGUGAGUACAUAAGAAAUACUGCCAUUGCCACAGGACACCCACCACUGACUUGGGCAUAAUCUCUAAGAGGCAGUUUGAUUGUGAUUUGAACAAGACUUGAGCUUUCAAAAAUCAGAGCUAUUUUCCAAGCCUUGGGAUUUCCCACCCACCCCCAAUGGUGGCAUUUUCUCCCUUAAUUCCCUAGUCAGGAAAGAAAUAAGUUGUGGUUUUAUUUUUAUAUCAACUGACACCAUUAGCAUAUUCUUAGUGAAAUUUGUAUAGUUCGUCAGAUCAGAUACCCUUUAACGGGGACAAGAAUUAUGAAUCAAUGAAAGAAGCUGUCACCGGCUAUGUUGCCUUGAUAUUAAUAGCAUGAACAGUCAAUGUUGGAAGUAUCUGGGGCGCAUUUGCCAUUAAACCCAUCUUGUCUUUCAAGAAUGAGAUAGAGGAGGGAGACUGGGAAGAAGAGUCCCCAGGUCAAGCAGUUUCACUCAGGUCACGCAACCAGAUUGAUAAGACAUCAUCAUAGAUUGUCUACAGUAAAUUGUCUGAGAGCAUUUUUGUGCUGAGAGGUUUUUAUGUUUUUAAAUAGUUGAAAAAAAUCCAAAGAAGAAUAUUCUUGUGUGAAACGUGAAAAUUAUAUAAAAUCCAGAUUUCAGUGUUUAUAAAUAAAGCUUUAUUAGAAUACC